CCCGCUGAACUUAAGCAUAUUAAUAAGCGGAGGAAAAGAAACUAACAAGGAUUCCCCUAGUAACGGCGAGUGAAGCGGGAAGAGCUCAAGCUUAAAAUCUCCGUGCAAGUUUUGCGCGGCGAAUUGUAGUCUAUAGAGGCGUGAUCAGUGUGGGCGCUUGGGGCAAGUUCCUUGGAAGAGGACAGCAUGGAGGGUGAUACUCCCGUUCAUCCCUGAGUUGCUCGUGCGUACGAUCCGUUUUCUUUGAGUCGCGUUGUUUGGGAAUGCAGCGCAAAGUAGGUGGUAAAUUCCAUCUAAAGCUAAAUAUUGGUGCGAGACCGAUAGCGAACAAGUACCGUGAGGGAAAGAUGAAAAGAACUUUGAAAAGAGAGUUAAAGAGUACCUGAAACUGCUGAAAGGGAACCGAAUCGUUUCCAGUGUCUAUAAUCCG
Molecule: non-coding RNA, 430 nt
Filed under: Phytophthora infestans T30-4
Lineage: Eukaryota; Oomycota; Peronosporomycetes; Peronosporales; Peronosporaceae
Description: Eukaryotic large subunit ribosomal RNA
Rfam family: Eukaryotic large subunit ribosomal RNA
Source: Rfam by way of RNAcentral